RNAcentral lists this ribosomal RNA (406 nucleotides) under uncultured bacterium. RNAcentral's name for it is "partial 16S ribosomal RNA". It matches the Rfam family "Bacterial small subunit ribosomal RNA", at positions 28 to 526 of the family's 1533-position model. The record is from RNAcentral.
GAUGAACGCUAGCUACAGGCUUAACACAUGCAAGUCGAGGGACCGGCGCACGGGUGAGUAACACGUAUCCAACCUGCCCUUUACUCGGGGAUAGCCUUUCGAAAGAAAGAUUAAUACCCGAUAUAAAGGAUGGGGAUGCGUUCCAUUAGGUUGUUGGUGAGGUAACGGCUCACCAAGACUUCGAUGGAUAGGUGUUCUGUGAGGAAGGUGCCCCACAUUUGAACGGGAACACGGUCCAAACUCCAACGGGAGGCAGGAGUGAGGAAUAUUGGUCCAUGGGCGCUAGCCUGAACCCGCCAAGUAGCGUGAAGGAUGAAGGGUUAUGGGUCGUAAACUUCUUUUAUAUAAGAAUAUGUAUUAUAUGAAUAAGGAUCGGCUAACUCCGUGCCAGCAGCCGCGGUAAUAG